RNAcentral lists this ribosomal RNA (501 nucleotides) under uncultured bacterium. RNAcentral's name for it is "partial 16S ribosomal RNA". It matches the Rfam family "Bacterial small subunit ribosomal RNA", at positions 30 to 523 of the family's 1533-position model. The record is from RNAcentral.
AUUGAACGCUGGCGGCAGGCUUAACACAUGCAAGUCGAGCGGGGGAAGGUAGCUUGCUACCGGACCUAGCGGCGGACGGGUGAGUAAUGCUUAGGAAUCUGCCUAUUAGUGGGGGACAACAUCUCGAAAGGGAUGCUAAUACCGCAUACGUCCUACGGGAGAAAGCAGGGGAUCUUCGGACCUUGCGCUAAUAGAUGAGCCUAAGUCGGAUUAGCUAGUUGGUGGGGUAAAGGCCUACCAAGGCGACGAUCUGUAGCGGGUCUGAGAGGAUGAUCCGCCACACUGGGACUGAGACACGGCCCAGACUCCUACGGGAGGCAGCAGUGGGGAAUAUUGGACAAUGGGGGGAACCCUGAUCCAGCCAUGCCGCGUGUGUGAAAAAGGCCUUAUGGUUGUAAAGCACUUUAGGCGAGGAGGAGGCUACUCUAGUUAAUACCUAGGGAUAGUGGACGUUACUCGCAGAAUAAGCACCGGCUAACUCUGUGCCAGCAGCCGCCGCAG